Molecule: ribosomal RNA, 1236 nt
Filed under: Salmonella enterica
Lineage: Bacteria; Pseudomonadati; Pseudomonadota; Gammaproteobacteria; Enterobacterales; Enterobacteriaceae
Also listed under: 2 other names
Description: partial 23S ribosomal RNA
Rfam family: Bacterial large subunit ribosomal RNA
Source: RNAcentral
GGGUUGUGAGGUUAAGCGACUAAGCGUACACGGUGGAUGCCCUGGCAGUCAGAGGCGAUGAAGGGCGUGCUAAUCUGCGAUAAGCGCCGGUAAGGUGAUAUGAACCGUUAUAACCGGCGAUACCCGAAUGGGGAAACCCAGUGUGAUUCGUCACACUAUCAUUAACUGAAUCCAUAGGUUAAUGAGGCGAACCGGGGGAACUGAAACAUCUAAGUACCCCGAGGAAAAGAAAUCAACCGAGAUUCCCCCAGUAGCGGCGAGCGAACGGGGAGGAGCCCAGAGCCUGAAUCAGCAUGUGUGUUAGUGGAAGCGUCUGGAAAGGCGCGCGAUACAGGGUGACAGCCCCGUACACAAAAGCGCAUGUGCUGUGAGCUCGAUGAGUAGGGCGGGACACGUGGUAUCCUGUCUGAAUAUGGGGGGACCAUCCUCCAAGGCUAAAUACUCCUGACUGACCGAUAGUGAACCAGUACCGUGAGGGAAAGGCGAAAAGAACCCCGGCGAGGGGAGUGAAAAAGAACCUGAAACCGUGUACGUACAAGCAGUGGGAGCACCCUUUGGGUGUGACUGCGUACCUUUUGUAUAAUGGGUCAGCGACUUAUAUUCUGUAGCAAGGUUAACCGAAUAGGGGAGCCGGAGGGAAACCGAGUCUUAACCGGGCGUUAAGUUGCAGGGUAUAGACCCGAAACCCGGUGAUCUAGCCAUGGGCAGGUUGAAGGUUGGGUAACACUAACUGGAGGACCGAACCGACUAAUGUUGAAAAAUUAGCGGAUGACCUGUGGCUGGGGGUGAAAGGCCAAUCAAACCGGGAGAUAGCUGGUUCUCCCCGAAAGCUAUUUAGGUAGCGCCUCGUGAAUUCAUCUCCGGGGGUAGAGCACUGUUUCGGCUAGGGGGCCAUCCCGGCUUACCAACCCGAUGCAAACUGCGAAUACCGGAGAAUGUUAUCACGGGAGACACACGGCGGGUGCUAACGUCCGUCGUGAAGAGGGAAACAACCCAGACCGCCAGCUAAGGUCCCAAAGUCAUGGUUAAGUGGGAAACGAUGUGGGAAGGCCCAGACAGCCAGGAUGUUGGCUUAGAAGCAGCCAUCAUUUAAAGAAAGCGUAAUAGCUCACUGGUCGAGUCGGCCUGCGCGGAAGAUGUAACGGGGCUAAACCAUGCACCGAAGCUGCGGCAGCGACACUGUGUGUUGUUGGGUAGGGGAGCGUUCUGUAAGCCUGUGAAGGUGUGUCGUGAGGC